This is a non-coding RNA of Podarcis lilfordi (Lilford's wall lizard), 73 nucleotides long. NCBI's taxonomy places the organism in Eukaryota, Metazoa, Chordata, Lepidosauria, Squamata, Lacertidae. The record is from the annotation of a GenBank genome assembly.
CCCUUGGUAGUUCAGUCAGUUGAGCAUGAGACUCUUCAUCUCAGGGACAUGGGUUCGAGUUCCAUGUUGGGCA